RNAcentral lists this long non-coding RNA (1129 nucleotides) under Anser cygnoides (Swan goose). Its description in RNAcentral is "lncRNA (ENSACDG00005008832.1)". The record is from RNAcentral. Lineage: Eukaryota; Metazoa; Chordata; Aves; Anseriformes; Anatidae.
GCCUUUUGGGGAGGGCGGGGGGGGCUGGUGCCAGCCGUCUGUCUGUGCUGUCCCUGUCCGUGUGUCCGUGGGGGGGGGCGAGCUGGCCAGGCUGUGCAGGGCAGCCCCUGAUUCGGGGGGGGUCUGCGUGUGGGGGCUGCACUGUGCCCGUGCAGCUCGUGCACACACGUGUGUGUGGUUGGGGUGUGCACAGGCAGGCACACGGCAGGGACACGUGUGCACAAACAUAUGUGCAGAUGUGCUGCUGGUCAUUGCUGGGGACGUGUGUGUGCGUGCGAGGCGUGCACAUGGUGUGCCCUGUGUGCUGCAGGAGUGCACGUGUGUGUGUGUGCACGGUGUGCUGCAGGAGUGCACACGUGUGUGUGUGUGCACAGUGUGCCCUGUGUGCUGCAGGAAUUCACACGUGUGUGUGCACAGCGUGUCCCAUGAGCUGCAGGCAUGUACGUGUGAGUGCACGCUGUGCCCCGUGUGCUGCAGGAACGCACACACGUGUGUGCAAGGUGUGCCGUGUGUGCUGCAGGAACGCGCACACGUGUGUGCAAGGUGUGCCGUGUGUGCUGCAGGAAUGCACACGUGUGUGUGCACGGUGUGCCCCGUGUGCUGCAGGAACGCGCACACGUGUGUGCAAGGUGUGCCGUGUGUGCUGCAGGAGUGCACACGUGUGUGCACGGUGCAUCCCAUGAACUGCAGGACUGCACGUGUGUGUGUGCACGGUGUGCCCCGUGUGCUGCAGGAACGCACACGUGUGUGUGCAAGGUAUGUCCUGUGUGCUGCAGGAAUGCACACGUCUGUGCACGCAGCACCCCGUGUGCUGCAGGAACGCACACGUGUGUGUGCACGGUGUGCCCUGUGUGCUGCAGGAAUGCACACGUCUGUGCACGCAGCACCCCGUGUGCUGCAGGAACGCACGCGCACCCCCUUCGGCUGUGCGGCGGGAGCACGAACACGCGUGUCCACCUUCAGGCGUGCACACACACACACGCACACACACGCGUGCAGGGGGCCGGGGGUCAGGCCGAGGUGAGCCCUUCCCGGCGGGUUCAGGCGCAGUUCAGCCGCAUGCCAUUAGGCAAAUCAGCCCCGGCAGCCCCCGGCCCAGCCCCGCAGCCGCACGGCCCCCCCCGCCCCC